CACUCCAAUCUGCAAUCAACCAGAUAAAACGCAAUGGUUGGAAGCCACUGGGCCAUUAGCUACAGGAGGGUUAUGGACUCGUUACCUGAAAUGGUGGUAAAAGUGGCAGCUCUCACCGGAGAUGUUUUCUCACCAUGCUAAGUGACAUCAUUAAUGGAGCCUCCAAUGAAGUGAUGUUAUUCUACGCUGCUUGGAAUUUAUACUGUCCACUCUGUUAUGCGCCCUUCAUGUUUCGAUUCGAGAUGCACCUUCAUUUUGCUUUGCUCAUCAAGACAUUCAACUGAAUAGUUGAGGAAUAAUACUCCUGUUUACUUUUAAAAGUCCUUGAUAAAGAUUCGAUGACAUACAGAUUCUAUGAUCCAAAAGAUGAAAAUUUUGAAAAGAUGUCGACAGUGAUUUCUCAUAUAACAAGGUGUAGAGCUGGAUGAACACAGCAGGCGAAGCAGCAUCAGAGGAGCAGGAAAGCUGACGUUUUGGGUCUGGACCCUUCUUCAGAAAUGAUUUCUCAAAACGUUCUGCCGCCAGCAGAGGGCGUGAUUCACAUAGAGUUGCACAAAGGGGUCUUCAGAUUGCAAGGACUGAGGAUCAAAAUAUCAUUUAAGAAGAAGCAAAGCAGAAAUUGGAAUGUGUACAGCUUAAAUAUGAGCAUGGGGUGGUUUGAGAGAGCUGUGCAUUGUGUGCCAUUCACUGGUCAUUUUAAGGACUGCUGAUAAACUAUGAGAUUGUAAGAACUGCCAAUGCUGGAGUCUGAGAUAACACAGAGUGGAGCUUGAGGAGCACAGCAGGCCAGGAAAGCUGUCGUUUCGGUUGUGUUUUUCCAUAUCUGGAAAAGAAAUUCAGCAGCAUUUCACCUACGGAGAGCAUAUUCGCAAUCAAAUUGUCCCUUUUUUUAAAGUGUCAUUCAUGUAGAUAUCUUUCAUCUAACAUGCGAUUAAUUGAUUUAUUAAUUUUGAUGAUUUUACUUCUAAAGGCAAGACAGUGACGAUGAAGAGAGUCAGUUCCAGUCUUGGACAGCAAUUUUCAAUAUUUCACUGCUCGGUGGUUUGGAACCUGAGCUGGUGCAACUCGAUAAAGUAGGAUGGAUUGAAUGGAAGAAAUUGUAGAUAUUUUUUGGAGUGAAGUUUGGGAAGUAUCAAUCUGGUCGAACAACAACUAAAGAAAGAAUGAUCAAAUCACAUCAGCAAUGAUUGGUGAAUUGGAGGCGGGUUAAAGAGAGGAAGGGAAUGGGAAACGAGAUGUACGAAACGAAAGAGCAUGGGUGAAAUGCAAUUAGCGGAUUGGCGAGAGGAGGAGUGAAGAGUCAACUUUAUGACAUGAAGGGAGAGGAACUGAAGUUAAGAAUUAUGGAUAGAGGCUCGGAACAGGAGACUGAGGGGUAAGGAAGAAGAAAUGGUUCUGUAAUUGAUGGGAAGAAAAUGGUUGUGGAAGGUAACCAGAAUUGUAGGCUUGUACCUUUAGUGAUCAGCGUCCAAAAGGCAAGUCUGCUUUAGAAUGUGUGCCAACGUCCAGCCAACAAUGUCAUGGGUGGUUAGGAAAAGCCUUCUCUAAAUUCAAUCCGAACAUUUCAUAGUUUAAAUAUACUUGCAUGUCGAUUUGAAACUUGAUGUUCAUGGAUCUGAUUUUUACCCCUUCUCUGCCUGACCACUUGUACAUCUCUGUAACAGUUAAAUCCCUGUGACAAAACUGCAGUUUUGCUGAUUAUGCAAAGGGAAAGCAUAAGAAAAUGUUAUGGGUUAUUUUUCAGUUGAAGAACAGAGUGUUCAAAAACAUCGAUCACUAUGAUAUUAAAGA
Stegostoma tigrinum is the source of this 1791-nucleotide long non-coding RNA. RefSeq lists it as uncharacterized. NCBI's taxonomy places the organism in Eukaryota, Metazoa, Chordata, Chondrichthyes, Orectolobiformes, Stegostomatidae. The transcript is spliced from 4 exons. The record is from RefSeq and is a predicted model, not a curated record.